UAGCAUUGAUUUUUUAAAUAUAACAAUAUUGUUACUAGAAUUUAGAAUUUAGUAAUGAGAUUUUUACAACUGUCAUUUGAUAUAUAAUUAAUAAAAUUAUUUAUUGCUUUAGUGUUACUUUUGAUGAUUUUUAUUUUUAUUUUUAUUUCUUUUAUUUUGUGUUGUAUAAAAUUGAAGAUAUUGGCAUUUGUCUUCAUUAUUCAAAUUUAGAAGUCGUUUCAAAACACUCUGUUUCUAAUUGUUUUAUUGUAAACCCAAACUUUAUUUAUCAAAUUUAUUAUGCUUUGGCUGUCAUAUCGACAACAAUUCUUAUAAGCUUAAAAUUUGAUAAAUCAAAUUAAUCACAUGUUGGCUUAUAAGAUAGAAUAGGUAAAAUCAAAUAAAGCAAGCAACGUAUUCGCAAUUGUACACUCUCUCUCAUUCUUUAUUUUCUUACAUAUUUUAUUGAUUUAUGUAUUAGAGUAUUUAAAAUAAAUUAAUUCAUGAGUCGAGUUAGACUAGAUUCAGGUCGGGUUGAGUUUAGUGUGAUAUUCUAACACUUUAAACAAAUUUAGAUUCGGUCUGUUUGAUUUUUCGAACCUCAUUUUAUGUCUAAAUUUAUUUUUAUAUGUAAUAAUAAAAUUUAAAUUCGUUCAAAAUAUUAGUAUUUAAAAUUGAAAAAAAAUUAUUUUUUAUAAAUUAUUAAUUUUAAUUGAAUUUGUGAAUUAUUUGAGUUUAAGUCUAAUUUAAUUUUAUUGAAUAUAAUUUAAAAAUAAAUCAUUGUUUUGUAUAAAAAAGAAAUUUACUUUAUUUUAUUAUAAGUAAUAAAGCAAAUAGAUUUUAUUUAUUAUAAAAAAUAAAACAAAUCGACUUUAUUUUAUUAUAAUAAAAAUAUAUUUUUUUAAUUUUCAAGUCGAGCUUGAAUCUUAAAUGAUGAAACUUAAGGUUGGUCCUAUUUUUUUUAUUGAACCUCAUUUAUUUAUCCAGAUUCAUUUAACGAGUUUAAUAUCUAUAUUCAUGUCCUUUAGAUUUUCGGAUAAACUUUCUAGUUCGAACGUAUUAUCCAGUCCUUGAAGAUAUCUAUUCCAAAAAUAAUAUCUUUGAUGCUUUCGAUUUUUUUUUUUACAAUAAAUCAUGUCUACCUAUGGGUAUAAUCGAUUGAGUUCAAGUCGAUAUAGUAUCAAGCUCGAUUCGAAAUUUGAAGUUCGAAACUCAACUUGAACUCGAUCGAAUUUUAUUUUUCUUACUCAAACUCAACUCGAUAUAGAAAUUGAGCUAUUCGAGUUUGCUCAAUUAAACUUGAUUAUUUAUGUUCGAGCUCGAGUUCGAUAUAGUUUAUUAAUUAAAAUAAUAAAAAUAUAUUUAAAUAUAAAAACUUGAUUAAGCUCGCGAGCUAUUUGAAUCGAGUAUAAAAAAAUUUGAACUCGAUUUAAUCGAUGAAUCGAGCUACGCAAAUUCGAGCUUGUCAAAUUCGAGCUUGAUUCGAUAAUAAUCAAGCCGAAUUUAAAUUUUAUUAAAAUCAAAUUCCAAUAACUUACGAAUACUAAUGUAUCAUUUACACACAUACAUCUACCUUUUUAUUUAACUUCUGACAAGCUCCUCAACCAUCGUAUUAAAAAUUUCAUCAAUAAAAUUAAAAAGAAAAAAAAAAAACCUAAAAUUGUUUCAAAACAGUUUUCUUAUAUAUAUAUUUUUUUAUUAGGGUAAAAUAGUUACUCCGUACAAACUAUUCAAGCUUCUCAAUCUUUGUGAAACCCCUUCAGUUUCAGUAAAUCAAUGUUGCUAAGUAUAGUAUAUCUUUACCUUUGACAAAGUGUGAACGUGAUUAAGACUUGAAAGGCUUGACAAUGAGUUAUGAUUAAAAUGAUAAACAAUCAUUUUUAAAUGACUUCUCUACCAACCAUUUCCUUUGACUCUAUGUUUCCUUUGGAUAUAAAUUUACUCUAUGUAUAAGAAGGCCUUGUAUGAGAUUCAUGCAUUUUGUUUCCCAAUUCUUCAUUGCUUGUUUAACUCAAAUUCCUAUAUAUAUAUAUAUAUAUAUAUAUAUAGAGAGAGAGAGAGAGAGAGAGAGAUCCUUUUUAUUGUCCUAACAUGGUGGCAAUUGACAAAAUAGUACUAAAAAACAAAAAAAAAUCAUAAAAAAUUAAGUGCAUACUACAAUUGAAUCUUUUGUUCAUAAAAAAUUAAAACAAAACCAUUUUGGAAUUUCGUCAAAUUAGAAAUGAAAAUAGUAAUAACUUUUGCUAUAUAAAAUUUUAUUAGGGUUAAAAGGAAUAGACCUUUGACUAUGGCCAAAAUCUUAAAUUCAAUUCAUAGCAUGCAAAGAUCAUCUUAUGACACUUUAUUAAAUAUAAAUAUCACUUCAUUUUGAAUUUUGAAUUCAAAAUCAUUGAAUUGAAAGACAAAAUCAAGUUCCAUGUAUCCAAAGACAAAGGAAUCACCUUCCAAAAUCUGCCAAGAAGACCCCAUUAUUGUUGAUGUAAGGCAAGAUUUUUCUUUUUUUUUUCAUUGAAGAGGCAAUAAUUGUUGGCUACAAUGGAAAUUGGGGGGGGGCAAUUUUGGACUUUGACCAUCUUUGGCAAAACAUGGGAAAAAAACAAUAGUUUCUGGAGAUAGAAACAAUCACCAUCAAUCCAAGGGCAAGGCCAAAGCCCCUUUGAGCCUUUAGCCAUUGAGCUUUGAGGGAAGCAGAAGAAAAACAUGUUCACAUGGGGAGACUCAAUCAUCAACUUAUUCAUCCUUUUUUUAAGCAGGAUUUGAUUGGAUUACACGUGUAUGGACAGAUGGUUGAUCAGAUUGGCUGGGGUGGUGCCACGUGAUGAUUCUUUCCUAGUUGAAAAUUAGCUAACAUGCAACACGGUACCUACCCACGUGUGCUUCCACAAUUGCAAGUGGUUUCCCACUGUCACUUAGACGUCCUUUUCGUAGAGUACUUCUCCUUCUCACGCUCAUCACUGGCGCGAUGAAUUCUUCAAUGUAAGUAAACUUCAAUAUUUUUUAUUUGAAAAAUCAAUCUAAAUAAGCCCAUUCAUAUAAUUCAUAUAAUAGUUCGAUUCAUAUAUUCAUUUUUU
RNAcentral lists this long non-coding RNA (3050 nucleotides) under Durio zibethinus. Its description in RNAcentral is "long non-coding RNA (DZIB_LNC001568)". The record is from RNAcentral. Lineage: Eukaryota; Viridiplantae; Streptophyta; Magnoliopsida; Malvales; Malvaceae.